UUAUUUGACUUUGUUUUCUUUUUCUUUGUUUUCUUCUUCUUUUUCUUCUUUUCCUUUUCUUGA
Molecule: non-coding RNA, 63 nt
Filed under: Heterosigma akashiwo
Lineage: Eukaryota; Raphidophyceae; Chattonellales; Chattonellaceae
Source: RNAcentral